RNAcentral lists this ribosomal RNA (424 nucleotides) under uncultured prokaryote. RNAcentral's name for it is "bacterial SSU rRNA". It matches the Rfam family "Bacterial small subunit ribosomal RNA", at positions 355 to 796 of the family's 1533-position model. The record is from RNAcentral.
UGGGGAAUCUUGGACAAUGGGGGCAACCCUGAUCCAGCAAUGCCGCGUGAGUGAUGAAGGCCUUAGGGUUGUAAAGCUCUUUUACCAGGGAUGAUAAUGACAGUACCUGGAGAAUAAGCUCCGGCUAACUCCGUGCCAGCAGCCGCGGUAAUACGGAGGGGACUAGCGUUGUUCGGAAUUACUGGGCGUAAAGCGCGCGUAGGCGGACUAUUAAGUCAGGGGUGAAAUCCCGGGGCUCAACCCCGGAACUGCCUUUGAUACUGGUAGUCUUGAGUUCGAGAGAGGUGAGUGGAAUUCCGAGUGUAGAGGUGAAAUUCGUAGAUAUUCGGAGGAACACCAGUGGCGAAGGCGGCUCACUGGCUCGAUACUGACGCUGAGGUGCGAAAGUGUGGGGAGCAAACAGGAUUAGAUACCCCCGUAGUCC